ACAGGCAGACUCAACAGGAUAUUGUGGGUUAGCCCAACAUCCUGUGCUCAAGUGACUGAAAAAACAUACAGAUAUGCUUAAAAAAAUGCUUUGCAGAUGUAUUCUUUUAUUUAUUUAUUUAUUUAUUUUUGACAGCUUAUAACCUGUCAAUGUUUAACCUGUUACCAAGGAUACCAAUGAUUAUGACGUAAAGGAUCUGAUGUGUCUGGGUGAUACUAUAUAUAUUGCAUGUGAAACUGUUUGUUCUUUAUCAAGACUUUUGUGGUGAAGAUUUACAACAUAGUUAUUGUUAAUUACUGUAUUGACAAUUGUUAUCCUGCUUGAAACCAAAUCCACUUAGGUGAAGAUUUGUAAACUUUAUAAGUCACUGGUGAGUCCUCUUUUUCUAUGAUAGACUGACUAGAGUUUAUUAUUUUCUUCAUCAAUUUGGACCGAAGAGUAAGCCUGAGGCGUAAGGCCGCUCCUGCCCCGGAGGCUCAGACCUUGCCUGAGGUCACGGGGGAACCUGGAGCCUAUCCCAGGUGCACAAGGCAUGGUACACCCUGGACAGGGUGCCAAUCCAUCGCAGGGCACACCCAUUUAUACACUACGGACACUUUACGCCAAUACCAUGCAUGUCUUUGGACUGGGGGAGGAAACUGGAGUACCCGGAGAAAACCUACGCAGCACGGGGAGAACAUGCAAACUCCGCACACACAUGACCCUGGCGGAACUCGAACCCUGGACGCUGGAGUUGAUUGGGGAGCUACCUGCUGGAAUUCCUCUGCAGCUACUAAGUUUAUUUCUGCAGCCUGGCAUAUCCCAAGCCUACUAAGAGCCACUGGAUCAGGUUCUUGGUGUCCUGGUUUUGCGGCCCGGCCAGGGACUGGGUGGAGCAACUGGUCAGUACUGGGUCCCCCACUCUCCACGACGUCACCCAGUUCGUGGAACUUUUUGUCAAUUUGAUACUGGUGUAGGUUUGUGUUGUGUAAUGUCUCAAGCCAUGUAUUUCAUGUUAUGAGAUUUUACUCUGUGUGAAACUUCUGAAUAAAAGCAGUUCUUUUCUGCUGUGAAACAGAGGUGUACAUUACACUUUUUGCAUAUCACUUUAAGUGUUCCUGUGUACCAAGGAAACCCGCAUCUUCCCUUCUUGUCACACAUUGUAACAUAUUGUCCAAGUGGACAUUCUGGUUAGAGAUGGGAGCCAUUGGGCCCUGCUUCCUUCUCUUCUCCUUCUAUUCUCCUCUCUUCAUACUGUUGGGAAAUCCCACCACUGGUUCGACCUUGUGGAACUUCAAGGCAUAAUGGAACUUUUUUUUUGUCAUUCCAUUGUCAGCACAAUCUCGUCAGUACAUAAGCCAACAUGUCACCACCGCCAUAUAUAUGAAAUGAAAACAAUGGCUGAUCGACUUUGGGAGUGCUAUGGAGAUGUUCAGAAACAGAUAUGAAAAGUCUUUAAGACUUUAAGAACUAAAAUGUAUGUAGAAGAUAUUGCUGUUAAACCAAUUCUUGAAAAAAAAAAAAAACUUCCUGACCCACAUUAACAUGACCUAAACCAAGCUCUAGCAUACACCUCAACUGAAUAAAUAUAAAGUGUUAAAAUAGCAAAGAUGCUGUAUUGCUUUGCUUACAUGUGUGAUUUGAAAGGUGUAAAAUGCUGAAAAGCCUUGUUUUUAUAUGCUAUAACUGACAUACGACUGAUUAUUAUGAAAUCACAGGCAGACUCAACAGGAUAUUGUGGGUUAGCCCAACAUCCUGUGCUCAAGUGACUGAAAAAACAUACAGAUAUGCUUAAAAAAAUGCUUUGCAGAUGUAUUCUUUUUCUCUUUUUUUUGACAGCUUAUAACCUGUCAAUGUUUAACCUGUUACCAAGGAUACCAAUGAUUAUGACGUUAAGGAUCUGAUGUGUCUGCGUGAUACUAUAUAUAUUGCACGUGAAACUGUUUGUUCUUUAUCAAGACUUUUGUGGUGAAGAUUUACAACAUAGUUAUUGUUAAUUACUGUAUUGACAAUUGCUAUCCUGCUUGAAACGAUUCUGCAAUAAACCAAAUCCACUUAGGUGGAGAUUUGUAAACUUUAGAAGUGACUGGCGAGUCCUCUUUUUCUAUGAUAGACUAAGACUAGAGUUUAUUAUUUUCUUCAUCAAUUUGGACUGAAGAGUAAGCCUGAGGCGUAAGGCCGCUCCUGCCCCGGAGGCUCAGACCUUGACCUGAGUAAGUAACAAAGCUUCUCAUUAUGAUGUACACUUGAACAAGGUUUAUAUUGUAUAGCAGGGAGCUAGUAUGUUCUUUUCCAGAUAGAAAGCUCACCUUGAGUAAGUAUUUUUGGGGAAUUUGUUGCAUAUUAG
Ictalurus punctatus (channel catfish) is the source of this 2326-nucleotide long non-coding RNA. RefSeq lists it as uncharacterized. The transcript is spliced from 3 exons. The record is from RefSeq and is a predicted model, not a curated record. Lineage: Eukaryota; Metazoa; Chordata; Actinopteri; Siluriformes; Ictaluridae.